UGCUUUCGAUAUUUGGAGAAAGAAUGGUUAUGCACAGAAACAUGAGUUCAACAUUGAUGGGCAGGUUGAUGUUAUCUUAUAUUAAGAAACCAUAACGACAUCACACAGAAAGCCAAAGAGUUCAUCUAGGGUUCCGGCGAACUUUCGGACAAGCUCUGGUUUAUAUGUUGGUGUUUACCUUGCUAGCCCUUUGAUAUGAAUUUUGAUGGCACCAGGUUUGACACUCAAUAAAAAUUAAUGGUGUAGUAAAGACUAUACUAAGACAUUUUAAGAAAUCGUAAGCAUGACUCGAGACGAUUGAGUAUAGCUAUGCUUCGUGACUUCUUCAAAUCAAACUUCAAUCUUGAUUCACCCACCACAAAUGAUUUGCAGCAAGCUUAGUUUAGGAGAUUCGCAACAAUUUGAAUCGAAACUUUUGUUUAACUUAAUCACUGAUUUUACUCAAAUAUUUUUAUGAUGUUUUGAGCAGAUUAUGAUUGUUUUUGUUUUUGUUUUAGGACUCAUAAAAGUCAGCUCCAAAAAGAAAAUCAUGCAUUAGCAGUACUGCAGUAGCGGUUAGUUCGCCACCAUCUACAACCAACAGUCAACAAGAUCUGCAUAGUCAGAAAUUGAGCUAUACUUCGUGACUUCUUCAAAUCAAACAUCAAUCUUGAUUCACCCACCACAAAUGCUCCAAAAGAAAAUCAUGCAUUAGCAGUACUGCAGUAGCGGUUAGUUCGCCACCAUCUACAACCAAUAGUCAACAAGAUCUACAUAGUCAGAAAUUGAGGUAAACUCCAAACGAACAUUACCCCAAUCUCAAAAGCCAUAUAUACAGUUUAAUAUAAAUUCAGAAACUAUGGGAAUGCUUGAAAAGAUUAACUAGCUUUAUGGUUUUGUACAGUACAUGGUUUUAAGGUCAUCCAAAUGAGUUGAUUACAUGCUUUAUUAAGCAUAAAGAAUUAGCAAUG
RNAcentral lists this long non-coding RNA (950 nucleotides) under Helianthus annuus (common sunflower). RNAcentral's name for it is "hypothetical non coding rna". The record is from RNAcentral. Lineage: Eukaryota; Viridiplantae; Streptophyta; Magnoliopsida; Asterales; Asteraceae.